CCUACGGGUGGCAGCAGUGAGGAAUAUUGGUCAAUGGACGAGAGUCUGAACCAGCCAAGUAGCGUGAAGGAUGAAGGCCCUAUGGGUUGUAAACUUCUUUUAUAAAGGAAUAAAACGAGGCACGUGUGCCUUUUUGCAUGUACUUUAUGAAUAAGGAUCGGCUAACUCCGUGCCAGCAGCCGCGGUAAUACGGAGGAUGCGAGCGUUAUCCGGAUUUAUUGGGUUUAAAGGGAGCGUAGAUGGGUUGUUAAGUCAGUUGUGAAAGUUUGUGGCUCAACCGUAAAAUUGCAAUUGAUACUGGAAGACUUGAGUACAGUUGAGGUAGGCGGAAUUCGUGGUGUAGCGGUGAAAUGCUUAGAUAUCACGAAGAACCCCGAUUGCGAAGGCAGCUUACUAAGCUGUGACUGACAUUGAUGCACGAAAGUGUGGGGAUCAAACAGGAUUAGAUACCCCUGUAGUC
RNAcentral lists this ribosomal RNA (460 nucleotides) under uncultured bacterium. RNAcentral describes it as "partial 16S ribosomal RNA". It matches the Rfam family "Bacterial small subunit ribosomal RNA", at positions 338 to 795 of the family's 1533-position model. The record is from RNAcentral.